UUCCGGUUGAUCCCGCCGGAGGUCACUGCUAUUGGAGUUCGAUUAAGCCAUGCGAGUCGAGAGGGUUCGGCCCUCGGCGGACGGCUCAGUAACACGUGGGUAAUCUACCCUCAGGACAGGGAUAACCCCGGGAAACUGGGGAUAAUACUUGAUAGGUGGAGAUGUCUGGAAUGAUUCUUCACUCAAAGCUCCGGCGCCUGAGGAUGAGCCUGCGCCUGAUUAGGUUGUUGGCGGUGUAAUGGACCACCAAGCCAAAGAUCAGUACGGGCAGUGAGAGCUGUAGCCCGGAGAUGGGGGCUGAGACACGGCCCCAGGCCCUACGGGGCGCAGCAGGCGCGAAAACUCCGCAAUGUUCGAAAGAACGACGGGGGAACUCCAAGUCCGCUUGCGCAAGCAAGUGGUUUUUAGUAGUGUAAAAAGCUAUUAGAAUAAGAGCUGGGUAAGACCGGUGCCAGCCGCCGCGGUAACACCGGCAGCUCGAGUGGUGACCGCUUUUAUUGGGCCUAAAGCGUUCGUAGCCGGUCCAGUAAGUCUUUGGGCAAAUCUUCUCGCUUAACGAAAAGAAUUCCGAAGAUACUGCUGGACUUGGGGCCGAGAGAGGUUGGAGGUACUCCUGGGGUAGGGGUGAAAUCCUAUAAUCCUGGGGGGACCGCCAGUGGCGAAGGCGUCCAACCAGAGCGGACCCGACGGUGAGGGACGAAAGCCAGGGGCGCGAACGGGAUUAGAUACCCCGGUAGUCCUGGCUGUAAACGUUGCAUGCUAGGUGUUGCAUGCUCUACGGGGGCAUGCAGUGCCGAAGAGAAGUUGAUAAGCGUGCCGCCUGGGAAGUAUUAUCGCAAGGUAGAAACUUAAAGGAAUUGGCGGGGGAGCACCACAAGGGGUGGAGUCUGCGGUUCAAUUGGAUUCAACGCCGGA
This 915-nucleotide ribosomal RNA is filed under the name uncultured archaeon. RNAcentral's name for it is "bacterial SSU rRNA". It matches the Rfam family "Archaeal small subunit ribosomal RNA", at positions 1 to 922 of the family's 1478-position model. The record is from RNAcentral.